UGGGGAAUAUUGCGCAAUGGGGGGAACCCUGACGCAGCCAUGCCGCGUGAAUGAAGAAGGCCUUCGGGUUGUAAAGUUCUUUCGGUAUUGAGGAAGGUUGAUGUGUUAAUAGCACAUCAAAUUGACGUUAAAUACAGAAGAAGCACCGGCUAACUCCGUGCCAGCAGCCGCGGUAAUACGGAGGGUGCGAGCGUUAAUCGGAAUAACUGGGCGUAAAGGGCACGCAGGCGGUUAUUUAAGUGAGGUGUGAAAGCCCUGGGCUUAACCUAGGAAUUGCAUUUCAGACUGGGUAACUAGAGUACUUUAGGGAGGGGUAGAAUUCCACGUGUAGCGGUGAAAUGCGUAGAGAUGUGGAGGAAUACCGAAGGCGAAGGCAGCCCCUUGGGAAUGUACUGACGCUCAUGUGCGAAAGCGUGGGGAGCAAACAGGAUUAGAUACCCUGGUAGUCCACGCUGUAAACGCUGUCGAUUUGGGGGUUGGGGUUUAACUCUGGCGCCCGUAGCUAACGUGAUAAAUCGACCGCCUGGGGUGUACGGCCGCAAGGUUA
RNAcentral lists this ribosomal RNA (547 nucleotides) under uncultured bacterium. RNAcentral's name for it is "bacterial SSU rRNA". It matches the Rfam family "Bacterial small subunit ribosomal RNA", at positions 355 to 896 of the family's 1533-position model. The record is from RNAcentral.